Molecule: ribosomal RNA, 253 nt
Filed under: uncultured bacterium
Lineage: Bacteria
Description: partial 16S ribosomal RNA
Rfam family: Bacterial small subunit ribosomal RNA
Source: RNAcentral
UACGUAGGGUGCAAGCGUUGUCCGGAAUUAUUGGGCGUAAAGAGCUCGUAGGCGGUCUGUCGCGUCGGCUGUGAAAACUCGGGGCUCAACUCCGAGCUUGCAGUCGAUACGGGCAGGCUAGAGUACGGAAGAGGCGAGUGGAAUUCCUGGUGUAGCGGUGGAAUGCGCAGAUAUCAGGAGGAACACCAAUAGCGAAGGCAGCUCGCUGGGACGUUACUGACACUGAGGCGCGAAAGCGUGGGGAGCGAACAGG